AACGAACGCUGGCGGCAGGCUUAACACAUGCAAGUCGAGCGCCCCGCAAGGGGAGCGGCAGACGGGUGAGUAACGCGUGGGAAUCUACCGUGCCCUACGGAAUAGCUCCGGGAAACUGGAAUUAAUACCGUAUACGCCCUACGGGGGAAAGAUUUAUCGGGGUAUGAUGAGCCCGCGUUGGAUUAGCUAGUUGGUGGGGUAAAGGCCUACCAAGGCGACGAUCCAUAGCUGGUCUGAGAGGAUGAUCAGCCACAUUGGGACUGAGACACGGCUCAAACUCCUACGGGAGGCAGCAGUGGGGAAUAUUGGACAAUGGGCGCAAGCCUGAUCCAGCCAUGCCGCGUGAGUGAUGAAGGUCUUAGGAUUGUAAAGCUCUCUCACCGGUGAAGAUAAUGACGGUAACCGGAGAAGAAGCACCGGCUAACUUCGUGCCAGCCGCCGCAGUAA
Molecule: ribosomal RNA, 447 nt
Filed under: uncultured bacterium
Lineage: Bacteria
Description: partial 16S ribosomal RNA
Rfam family: Bacterial small subunit ribosomal RNA
Source: RNAcentral